This 444-nucleotide ribosomal RNA is filed under the name Synergistales bacterium canine oral taxon 178. RNAcentral describes it as "bacterial SSU rRNA". It matches the Rfam family "Bacterial small subunit ribosomal RNA", at positions 9 to 457 of the family's 1533-position model. The record is from RNAcentral. Lineage: Bacteria; Thermotogati; Synergistota; Synergistia; Synergistales.
GAGUUUGAUUAUGGCUCAGGACGAACGCUGGCGGCGUGCGUAACACAUGCAAGUUGGACGACGGUGCCAUGAAGUGGUAACACGGAAUGGCAUGCGGAGUAGCGGACGGGUGAGUACAACAUGAGAAGCUGUCCAAUAGUGGGGGAUAACGUUCGGAAACGGACCCUAAUACCCCAUAGGCCUUUUGGUUAAAGCAGCGAUGCGCUAUUGGAGGUGCUCGUGUCCUAUCAGCUGGUUGGUGAGGUAACGGCUCACCAAGGCGACGACGGGUAGCCGGCCUGAGAGGGUGUCCGGCCACACUGGAACUGAGAUACGGUCCAGACUCCUACGGGAGGCAGCAGCGGGGAAUAUUGGGCAAUGGGAGAAAUCCUGACCCAGCGACGCCGCGUGAACGAAGAAGGCCUUCGGGUCGUAAAGUUCUUUUAUGUGGGAAGAAGGAAGUGA